RNAcentral lists this ribosomal RNA (301 nucleotides) under uncultured bacterium. RNAcentral describes it as "partial 16S ribosomal RNA". It matches the Rfam family "Bacterial small subunit ribosomal RNA", at positions 509 to 807 of the family's 1533-position model. The record is from RNAcentral.
CAGCCGCCACGGGAAUACGGAGGGUGCAAGCGUUGCUCGGAAUUAUUGGGCGUAAAGGGUAGGUAGGUGGUCUUAUUUGUCUGGGGUGAAAGCCUUGAGCUUAACUCAAGAAGUGCCCCAGAAACGGUGAGACUAGAGUCUUGGAGAGGGUCGUGGAAUUCCCGGUGUAGCGGUGAAAUGCGUAGAGAUCGGGAGGAACACCAGAGGCGAAGGCGGCGACCUGGAUAAGUUCUGACACUCAACUACGAAAGCGUGGGGAGCAAACAGGAUUAGAUACCCCUGUAGUCCCUGUCUCUUAUAC